This is a long non-coding RNA of Paramisgurnus dabryanus, 1520 nucleotides long. RefSeq lists it as uncharacterized. Lineage: Eukaryota; Metazoa; Chordata; Actinopteri; Cypriniformes; Cobitidae. The record is from RefSeq and is a predicted model, not a curated record.
AUGUAGAGUUAUUUGUUGUAAUUCUGUUGUAAACAUUUGAAGAGCUUUGUGUUUGAUACAAUUUCUCAUUUUUAAUGCAAAAUCUGAGAGGACUCAACUGACUCGGGUUAAUGGUCACUAAGGACUCAUGGUUCUCGAGUCAUUUUAGGGAUCGGGUUAAAUGAUCCGAGUUUCGGGUGACUCGCUCAUCACUACAACGUUGCGAUAAUUCAGUAGAGUCUAACCUCAAUCGGUUUUUGCAGCUUCUGGGUGUCGUGUCGAACGAUCGCAGAACGAUAUUUUGUUCUUUUCCAACUCGAUUUUUAACUCCCUAAACUAGUAGGAUGUUCCAACGGGUGAAGCAACAGUGCUGACGGCAGAGUUUCAGUGUCAAUUUUUCAUGCCAUGAUCACUGGGGCGGAAACCAUUAUGACGUUGCCUUGGACAUCAAACUAAACCAUCUCAUUCUGGCUUUUUUCUAACAUCGAAAUCUCAGAAGGACAGGACUAAGAUGGACGCAGCCUCCACAUGCAACCUUGCAUUUGAGGAACACCCAUAGAACGGUCAACUUACCCCAUACUCUAACCUGAAUGCAGGGAUCAUAAAACCUUAUCUUUUACCUUAAUUGUUAGAUGGUUGUUGAUACCAAACUUUUUUGUCUCGUCUACCCAGGAGAAAGUCAUGGGUUCUGCUGCUGAGGUUGUCAUAAAGCAUGCUUUUUCCAUUUGUUGCAUUGGGCAAUAUUAUCAAAAGAUUCUGAAAGAAAUAAGAUAAUUUUCAAAGCAUUAACAUGAAUAUGAAAGCAUUAAGUCAUUAAUGACCAUCUUUUAUUAUUGUUUAUUUACAGUGUCUUUUAUUCUGCUUACCUGACUCAUGCAGAAUUCUGGCUUGAUGUUUGGUCCACCUGUUAGCUGGCUCUGGUGCUUGGUAGUCUUCUCAAACCUCUGAAUCAAGGCCACCAUGAGAGGCCUUCUGAAGACCAUCAUUACGCUUCAGAUCCAGUUGUCUUUACUAUGAGAUGGGACUGAACUGGAGUCUGUGAACUAAUGCUGUGUUCGAGACAACUUGGAUGUUGGAUAUUAUUGACCUCAAACCCGUAAGAAGUCUGGAACAGCAAACAAAAUCCUUUCUCUUUUUAAUGCAGAACUUAAGGAUGAAGCACCCUGAUCUACUAAGAUGCACAGAUUCAACUCUGGCCCAGCAUCAUCCCCACACCUCAUCUGCCAUCAGUUUAAUUUAAUGUCUGUCAAUUGCAAAUGCUAUUUAUUUCAGUUAUAUUACAACUUAAUGUUAACUUUAAUUAAGACUAGUAUUGUGUAAAGCUGGGGUUUCCAAACUUUUCAUUUCAAAACCUAUUAGACAAGUGUAAUCUAUUCAAGACCCACUAAAAUAUUUUUUUAUGGGGUAAAACACAUUUGUUCUCUUUCAGUGGAGUCAUUUUAUUUUCAUAAUAUUCCAUAAUGUAAAGCAGUGGUUCUUAACGUUAUUCCUCGAGGCCCAUUGCUCUGCACAUUUUGUAUGUCUUUUUUAUCUGACAGACC